Molecule: non-coding RNA, 114 nt
Organism: Acanthosepion pharaonis
Lineage: Eukaryota; Metazoa; Mollusca; Cephalopoda; Sepiida; Sepiidae
Source: the annotation of a GenBank genome assembly
UUACGGCCAUAUCACGUUGAAACACCGGUUUCCGUCCGAUCACCGAAGUUAAGCAACGUCGAGACUGGUCAGUACUUAGAAAGGCGGCUACUUGGGAAUACCAGGUGCUGUAAG